GGGCAAGCCAUGCUAAUGUGCUGAAUAGAGAAGAAAAAUAAAGGAAAAUAGUUCUUGGAAAUAGGAAGUAAAUAUUCAUUGAAUAAUAUUGAAUGAAACAAAUUCAUUCAACAAAUAUUGACUGCCAGGAGUAGGUACUGUGCUAAGUACUGUGUAAACUCAUAGGUUAUAUGGUAGAUCUUUAAUAAAUAGAGGCUAUAAUAAUCGUAUCUUGCACAAAUUAUUUUGCUCAUUAAGAAAGGUCUUUGGAGUCAAGUUGGCUGGGGUUCAAACUGAGGCAAUUUACAUCCUAUCUAAAGCAAAAAAGGGACACUGACAAAUGAAAAAGAAACAGCAAGUGGAAAGGAAAAACAAAGGAGACAGAAUGCAGUGAAUGGAAGAACAGCUAAAAUAAGAAAAAAGUAAAUCCAUAAUUGAUAUCUUCAGAGAGAUAAGAUCAAGAUCCUGGAGAAGGAAUUGCUAAUUUUAGAAAGAACUCUUGUGAAUUAAAAAUAGCACAGCUGAAGUUAACUAAUAGCACAGGUGAAGUUUGGAAGAUAAAUUGGAGGAAAUCUCUCAGAAAGUGGAACAAGGAGACAUGGAAUGGAAAAUAGGGACAAAAUAAGAAAAUGAGAUUAAUCUUGGAAGCCCAAUAUUUGACUAAUAGGUUUUCCAGAGGUAGAACAAAGACAAUGGUUGAGAAGAAAGACUAUACAAAAGAUUUCCCAGAACUCAAGAAUAGUCGUCUCCAGAUUGUAAAGUCCCACAGAGUGUCCACAGGGUCUUUGUGGACAGCCAUACAGGUGUGUCUAUGGAUUAAGAUGAGAUUAGUGCUCCCUAAAGUGGUGCAGUGCACAACAUGUACAGCUGUGUGUGGCCACCAAAUGAAUGCAAAAAGACCCAUGCCACAGCAUUUCAACUAGAAAUUACAGAGUAUUAGGCAUAAAAAAAUAACCUCAAAUCCUUCAGAGAGGAAAAAUAAGUCACAUCCAGAACCUUAGAACAAGAAUGGCAUCAGACUUCUCAAGAGAAACAUCAUAACAGAAGACCAUGGAAAAAUGCUUUGCAAAUUCUGAGGGAAAAUGAUUUCCAAGCUAUAAUUCUAUACCUAGCUAUAUCAGUUAGUAUUCUUAAUUGUCAACAGCAGAAUCUAUAUAGUUAGUUUAAGCAGAUAAGAAACUUAUUGACUUCAGAUUGCUUAGGUGGUUUAUGGAAUUUUCUGGUGAGCCAGAGAAUGCAGGCUUGUAUACCAAGGUGCCAGGUCCACACCCAAAGACCACUGUGGGAGCUGCACUUGAGAAGACAUCUCCACUACCACACCUGGCACAGACAGCACAGCUGGCUGCAUGAUGAAGAAGCUUCACUCUUGAGCCAUCCCUCCCCUCCAGACUAGAUGUCUCUAUUUCCAUCAUUUUCCAAAAAGGUGGAUUCUGCAAACAACUACUAUCUCACGUUGCUUACUUCUGAACUGAAGUCUCAUAGAGAAAUCUGCUGAAAGAAGUUCUACCUACACGAGGCUGUAAACCAAGGAAAAUUAAGACACAGGAUCCGGGAAACAGGCAUCCAUCUCAGAUGAGACAAAGGGAAUCCCCAUCAUGGUGGUGGCAAGAACCUUCAAGUUAAAGACUGGGCAGCGGGUCAGCCUGGAGCAGGAGGACUCUGGGCUUCAGGAGGCCUGGCUGUACGAAGACAGUUUACCUAACGAGUGAUCUUAGUUCCCCGACCAGGGAUCGAACCCGGGCCCUUGGCUGUGAGAGCAUGGAGUCCUAACCACUGGACCACCAGGGAAUUCCCUAAGCACAUUAUAUUAAAAUAUAGAGGCAGAAAAAGACCUGUAUGCAGAAAACUGUAAGAUACUGAUGAAAGAAAUCAAAGACGACACAAACAGAUGGAGAGAUAUACCAUGUUCUUGGACUGGAAGAAUCAAUAUUGUGAAAAUGACUAUACAACCCAAAGCAAUCUACAGAUUCAGUGCAAUACCUAUCAAAUUACCAAUGGCAUUUUUCACAGAAUUAGACAAAAAAUUUUACAAUUUGUAUGGAAACACAAAAGACCCCGAGUAGCCACAGCAAUCUUGAGAAAGAAAAACGGAGCUGCAGGAAUCAGGCUCCCUGACUUCAGACUAUACUACAAAGCUACAGUAAUCUACACAGUAUGGUACUGGCACAAAAACAUGGAACAGGAUAGAAAGCCCAGAGAUAAACCCACGCACCAAUGUUCACCUAAUCUAUGACAAAGGAGGCAAGAAUAUACAGUGGAGAAAAGACAGUCUCUUCAAUAAGUGGUGCUGGGAAAACUGGACAGCUACAUGUAAAAGAAUGAAAUUAGAACACUCCCUAACACCAUACACAAAAAUAAACUCAAAAUGGAUUAAACACCUAAAUGUGAAGCCAGACACUACAAAACUCUUAGAGGAAAACAUAGGAAAAACACUCUCUGACAUAAAUCUCAGCAAGAUCUUUUAUGACCCACCUCCUAGAGAAAUGGAAAUAAAAACAAAACUAAACAAAUGGGACCUAAUUAAACUUAAAAGCUUUUGCACAGCAAAGGAAACCAUAAACAAGACGAAAAGACAACCCUCAGAAUGGGAGAAGAUAUUUUCAAAUGAAGCAACUGACAAGGCAUUAAUCUCCAAAAUAUACAAGGAGCUCAUGCAGCUUAAUAUUAAAAAAACAAACUACCCAAUCCAAAAAUGGACAGAAGACCUAAAUAGACAUUUCUCCAAAGAAGACAUACAGAUGGCCAGCAAACACUUGAAAAGAUGCUCAACAUCACUAAUUAUUAGAGAAAUGCAAAUCAAAACUACAAUGAGGUACCACCUCAUUAUAAGUGAUAACAUAGAGUAUUUGUCUUUGUCUGACUUAUUUCACUUAGCAUAAUACUGUCUAGGUCCAUCCAUGUUGCUGCAAAUGGCAGUAUUUUAUUCUUUAUAUGGCUCAGUAAUAUUCCAUUGUUAUACCACAUCUUCUUUACCCAUUCAUCUGUUGAUGGACACUUAGGUUGCUUCCAUAUCUUGGCUAUUGUAAAUAAUGCUGCUAUGAGCAUUGGAGUGCAUGUAUCUUUUCAAAUUAGUGUUCUCAUGUGCUUUGGACAUAUACCCAGGCGUGGAAUAGCUAGAUCAUGUGGUAUUUCUAUUUUUAGUUUUUACAGGAACCUCCAUACUGUUCUCCAUAGUGGCUGCACCAAUUUACAAUCCCACCAGCAGUGUACACGGUUUCCCUUUUCAGGGAGUGAUUUUCCUUGAUGUAUCUUGGCUUAAGAUAUAAUUUUGUGUUUUUUCUUAUAGAAUUAAACAUGCUAAUUAUAGAAAAUACAAAUAUCUUAGAUAUGUUUUGGUAAGAUCCCAUGGGAGGAUUCUGCUAGAAGUGAAAGGGUUUGGGAUUUGAGAUCAGAGCUGUAUUAAGACCUUGCCACUGGAAGUGUGUGUGACUUUAGACAGGGAGAGAGUUCCUUAUUCUCCCUGAACUUUGGUUGAUGUCUUCACCUUUUAAAUUGGGUGAAUAUGGUUGACACCUUUUGGGUUUCUCAGUUCUCACCCCCUUUCUCUGGAAACUUCCCUUUGCCCUUGUCCAUUGGAAUCAACCACUGGCAAGACUUCCGCCCCCCCUCUCAUGGCUGAUUCUACCUAGGUGUGCACGUCUGAUUGCAGCCAGACUCAGUUUCUUUCAUUUGGAAAUUUGGCACAUCUGUGGGCCUGGAAUAGUAACCUUUGAAUUUAGGGGACCAUAUGUGUAAUCUCUUCCACAGAGUCCUGGAGGAGCAGAGAAAGUAGGGCGUUUGCAGAAAGAGAGAAGCAUGAAGUAAUUGUGCAGAGAGAUCUGGGUGAUAUAUGGAGAGAGAGUCCUGAGAUUUUCAUUUUCUGACACUGACCCCUUUCGAAGGCCCCACUGCCUUUCUGCAUUCUUGUAAUAAAUUAACCUUUUUCCCUUAAGCUGUUUCAAGUUAGUUUUCAUUACUUACAAAUUGAGUCUUAUUUCACGCAGGAUAAAAGCAGCUGUCUGUAGAGCUUAUGCGCUCCCCCAUAUUGCCUGGCCCUACCUCCACACUUGGACUUUGGUCCUUGCUCUGUGGAUAUUUCACCCAUCACCUCGUCUCCUUGCACCACUGGCUGCCCUCACCUCCUCUGCAGUGUGGCUUCAGCAUAGCACCCAUCAUGGUGGGAGUUGUAGUGGUUUCAGUGACAUUGGAUUGGAGCCCAAGGAGUAUAAUACAACUUCUUCCGCUUCUUCUGGACUCCAAGGAAACACUGAAACAUAGGUCAAAGGAUCUGGCUUCUCCAGCACCUACUUAACGGGCUAGUAACCCAAUCUGGAAGCGUGGUAUAGUCCAUCAGUUGGCUUUUGCUACAAAGCCCCAAACUUAAUGCUUUUAAACAACAAACACUUAUUUCUCACAAUUCUAAGGAUGAUCGGGCCGUUCUUUUAGUCUGGGCUCAUCUGGGACUGGCUGAUGUAGAAUGGAGUCACAGGUCUGUUGGUUGGCAGGCUGAUUGGUCUUGGGCGGGGGGGCUUCACCCACAUGUCUGGCAGUUGGGUCAGUGUCAGCUGAGACAACUUCAUGAGUGGCUCAUCACCCAGCAGAUCAGCCCAGGGUCAUUUUCAUGGUGGCAGAAGUUCCCAGCAGUAAGAGAGGGCAAGCCCGGAUGCUCAAGCACUUUUCAAGUUUUCUGUUCAGCAUCAUAUUUGCUAAUGUCCCCUUGGCCAAAGUCACAUGACCAAACCAAGGUUCAAGGGCUGGAGAAAUAAAUUCCUCCUCUUUUUUUAAAAACAUCUUUAUUGGAGUAUAAUUGCUUUACAAAAAUUCCUCCUCUCGUUAGGAAUUGCUGUGCACUCACAUUUCGAAGGGCCAUGCAGUCAGGAAUGGGAGGAAUUACUGCAACCAUUCUUGCAAACAAUCUACCGCAGGGUGUUAAUGCCUGCUUAGGGUGAACUUUGACACUAGAAGGUAGAACGACAAGCUCCACAGGCCAAACCCUCUCUCUCUUCUUCUUCCCCAGUGGACUAUUCUGAGGUGCACUGGUUCCACAUACUCACCUUGGAGAUGUCCUGGGUGACCGUGCAGCUGUCUUGGGAGAUUUCCUUCCUCCCUUAUUCCUCAUUCCCUCCGCUUGCUGCCCUGGUAUUAUACUCGCCCGCAAAGCAUUGCAAAGAGGGUUUUAUUCAGCUUUGUUUCAUAGGUAUUCUGAGUUAAGACACUAUUAUAUCAGAUUCUUGAGAAGAUUAAAGGGUAUAUGUUUCUGGGAUCUACUCUAUAAAUUGUAACUUUUAUUAUUCUUAUUACUAACAAAAAUAUUUCACAACAGUAAAAUCUGAAUGAACUUUAAGAGCUGUUAUUAUAUAGGCGACAUUCUCAAAUCACACUGCGGCAAAAUUAGAAAUUAGUAAGUUUAAAGAAAACACAACCUGAUGGAAAUAAACAAGCAAACAAAAGACGAAACCCACAAAGGCUCCUAUAUAGUAUCUGGUCAAUAAUACAAACAACAGACUAUUUACAAAAUAGAUGGAAAAAAUAAUAUUUAAAAAUCUCCAUGGGGACAUCCCUGGUGGCUCAGUGCUUAAGAAUCUGCCUGCCAAUGCAGGGGACAUGGGUUCGAGCCCUAGUCCAGAAGAUCCCACAUGCCACAGAGCAACUAAGCCCCUGCACCACAACUACUGAGCCUGUGCUCUAGAGCCCACGAGCCACAACUACUGAAGCCCACGUGUCACAACUACUGAAGCCCACGCGCCUAGAGCCCGUGCUCUGUAACAAGAGAAAUCACAGCAAUGAGAAGCCCACGCACUGCAACAAAGAGUAGCCUCCGCUUGCUGCAACUAGAGAAAGCCCGUGUGCAGCAAAGAAGACCCAAUGCAGCCAAAAAUAAAUAAAUUUAUUUUAAAAAAUUUAUAUAAAAAUAAUCUCCAUGGUAUGUAGCCAGAAUUAUUCACAUGAUUAAAUUCCUUAUUCGUAUUGAUAAACAAACAAACAAAAAAGAAAACAAAAAGACAUAAUGUAUUUGACUUAAAAUUUCAGAGAAAAGAACAAAAACAUACCCAAGGAGAGAGACAAACAAGAUAGCGGGGGUGUGCGGGAAUCCGCUUUUAGUGGCUCAUGAGAGCUGCUUGUUCAGCUUUCAGGAACUUGGUGAAGUGGUUGUUAAACUCAGGCAUUAUUUAAAAUUGCAUUAUAUAAACUUAAAUCCACUGUAUAAAAAACAAAAGUAAUAAAUACUCAAGUCAUCACUUCCUAUUUUACUCCAUUUCACUAUUGUAUAUGGCCUUGAGUUCAUUUAUGUCUUUGGAUAUGCAUGGUGGAAAUACGAUGUAAUAGCAUCCUACUGAGCUUCUAUUCCCAAUUCUGCAUUCACUGAUAUCCCAUUGGUGGCUGGAAAUCAGCCACAGUGGAAGUAUUUACACCACAGUAUUUGGCAGUGCUACCAAUCAGAGUCAUUGCUUUCUCCUCCUCCUCCUCCUUUUCCACAGAGCUGUUGUUAAACAUUUACCAGCUUACCACUGACCAGAGGUAAAUAAUCUUUUUUUAAGGAACAUGAAUUUUCCAGCGUGAGAUUAGCAGAAAAAUGAAGAUAAAGCAUUAAGAUACUUAUAAAGUUUGCACUCAUUUCAGUGCUCUGGGAUGCUCUAAAUCUCAGGGAUACAUUUCUUUGGUUGGGAUGCUUGCAGUUAAAUCAGUUCUAACUAAUGCAAGAUGGACCUUAAUACUCAAGAGUGACCCAGAUCUCAAACUGUUUCUCUGGAUUGCUGAUGAGUAAGGACUGGUAAUGAGUAAGUAACUAUAGAUGUUUCUAGCCAAGUCUCUGGGUGCCUCUGGGCUAUCCAGGAUCUAGAAAUGGGGGAAAUGUACAGAUGUAUAAAUAUGGAUUUUGGUCAAAUGAAAUACUCUUAUACAUUUUUUUUCUAUAAAGCAUGAGAAAAAUUUAACUAGGUUGUUGACUAUUAGUGAAAAAAAUAAUGUAUAGCAACAGUGAUUAAAUCUCUUUUUCAG
This is a long non-coding RNA of Balaenoptera acutorostrata (minke whale), 6957 nucleotides long. RefSeq lists it as uncharacterized. The transcript is spliced from 3 exons. Lineage: Eukaryota; Metazoa; Chordata; Mammalia; Artiodactyla; Balaenopteridae. The record is from RefSeq and is a predicted model, not a curated record.